GAAGUGCGAUAAGCAAUGCGAAUUGCAGAACCGUGAGUCAUCAGAUUUUUGAACGCAACUGGCGCUGACUGGCUCUCCAGUCAGCAUACUUGUUUCAGUGUCUCUUUAUCUCCUAACCAAUAUCAUAAUGCGAGAGAUAUCCUUCUCUUGCUAAGCAUGAAAGCACUCUGCGCUCAGCGAGCGGCUUCGACUUGUUCGAUACCGCACUCAAUGCAGCAGUCACAUUGCUCACAAUGUGAACUCAUUGAGAGCUGAGGCAGUGCGGCGUAAGCUGCCAGUGCUUAGUCACACAAACUUACUUGCAUCUGAAAUCAAGCAGGAUCACCCGCUGAACUUAA
This 338-nucleotide unclassified non-coding RNA is filed under the name uncultured fungus. Its description in RNAcentral is "sequence contains ITS1". The stretch from base 1 to 103 matches the Rfam family "5.8S ribosomal RNA", at positions 50 to 154 of the family's 154-position model. The record is from RNAcentral. Lineage: Eukaryota; Fungi.